RNAcentral lists this ribosomal RNA (453 nucleotides) under Campylobacter fetus. RNAcentral describes it as "bacterial SSU rRNA". It matches the Rfam family "Bacterial small subunit ribosomal RNA", at positions 557 to 1009 of the family's 1533-position model. The record is from RNAcentral. Lineage: Bacteria; Pseudomonadati; Campylobacterota; Epsilonproteobacteria; Campylobacterales; Campylobacteraceae.
GGCGUAAAGGACGCGUAGGCGGAUUAUCAAGUCUUUUGUGAAAUCUAACAGCUUAACUGUUAAACUGCUUGAGAAACUGAUAAUCUAGAGUGAGGGAGAGGCAGAUGGAAUUGGUGGUGUAGGGGUAAAAUCCGUAGAGAUCACCAGGAAUACCCAUUGCGAAGGCGAUCUGCUGGAACUCAACUGACGCUAAUGCGUGAAAGCGUGGGGAGCAAACAGGAUUAGAUACCCUGGUAGUCCACGCCCUAAACGAUGUAUACUAGUUGUUGCUGUGCUAGUCACGGCAGUAAUGCACCUAACGGAUUAAGUAUACCGCCUGGGGAGUACGGUCGCAAGAUUAAAACUCAAAGGAAUAGACGGGGACCCGCACAAGCGGUGGAGCAUGUGGUUUAAUUCGAAGAUACGCGAAGAACCUUACCUGGGCUUGAUAUCCAACUAAUCUCUUAGAGAUAA